Molecule: ribosomal RNA, 2329 nt
Filed under: human gut metagenome
Description: bacterial LSU rRNA
Rfam family: Bacterial large subunit ribosomal RNA
Source: RNAcentral
GCCUUUUGUAGAAUGAGCCAGCGAGUCGCUGGCGCGGGGCGAGGUUAACCGAAAGGGAGCCGGAGCGAAAGCGAGCCUUAACAGGGCGACUUGAGUCCCGCGCCGCGGACGCGAAGCCGGGUGAGCUAUCCGUGGGCAGGCUGAAGCGGGGGUAAGACCCCGUGGAGGGCCGAACGCACGUCGGUUGAAAACGGCGGCGAUGACCUGCGGAUAGGGGUGAAAGGCCAAUCAAACCCGGAGAUAUCUCGUUCUCCCCGAAAUAGCUUUAGGGCUAGCGUCGCGCGUUCACCGCCGGAGGUAGAGCACCGGAUGGACGAGGGGGCUUCGCCGCCUACCGAAUCCAACCGAACUCCGAAUGCCGGCGGCCCAGAGCGCGGCAGUCAGAGCAUGUGGGCUAAGCUGUGUGCUCGAGAGGGAAACAGCCCGGACCGCCCGCUAAGGUCCCCAAGUUCCAGCCGAGUGGCAAAGGAUGUGCGUCCGCCCAGACAACCAGGAUGUUGGCUUAGAAGCAGCCAUCCAUUCAAAGAGUGCGUAACAGCUCACUGGUCGAGUGGACAUGCGCCGACAAUACACGGGGCUAAGCUGGACACCGAAGCGGCGGGAUUUUAAUUCAUUAGAAUCGGUAGGGGAGCUUCCCAUGGGCGGAGAAGCCGGAGGGCGACCGACGGUGGAGCGCAUGGGAGUGAGAAUGCUGGCAUGAGUAGCGAGAGACGAGAGAGUAACUCGUCCGCCGUGAACCCGAGGUUUCCUGGGCAAGGCUAAUCCUCCCAGGGUCAGUCGGGGGCUAAGGCGAGGCCGGUAGGCGUAGCCGACGCGCAGCAGGCAGACAUUCCUGCACCGCGCACGCGGCGCUACGACCGACGGGGCGACGGAUGGGGGUGGCUCGGCGGGGUUCUGGACGUCCCCGUGAUGGAGCGCGGCCCGCGGACCAGGGAAAUCCGGUCCGCACGAGGGCGAGGCUCCGGACGAAGCGACUGAGCGAAGCGAGUGAGCCCGAGGUCCCUAGAAAAACCCCUAGGCAGGCGCGUGCGCGCCCGUACCGCAAACCGACACAGGUGGGUGGGUAGAACAUACCGAGGCGAUCGGGUCAACCAUGGUCAAGGAACUCGGCACAAUGGCCCCGUAACUUCGGGAGAAGGGGUGCCCGCGCGUACGUGAACGGACUUGCUCCGGGAGCGGAGGCGGGCCGCAGUGGAGAGGCCCAAGCGACUGUUUACCAAAAACACAGGACUCUGCAGAAGCCGCAAGGCGACGUAUAGGGUCUGACGCCUGCCCGGUGCCGGAAGGUCACGCGGAGGAGUUAGCGCAUCGCGCGAAGCCCCGAAGCCAAGCCCCGGUAAACGGCGGCCGUAACUAUAACGGUCCUAAGGUAGCGAAAUUCCUUGUCGGGUAAGUUCCGACCUGCACGAAAGGCGCAACGACUUGGGCGCUGUCUCGACCAUGGACCCGGUGAAAUUGCACUGGUCGUGAAGAUGCGACUUACCCGCGGAAGGACGGAAAGACCCCGUGAACCUUCACUGCAGCUUGGCAUUGGCCGCUGGUCCCGCGUGUAGAGGAUAGGCAGGAGGCAUCGAUCCGGAGGCGCCAGCCCCCGGGGAGCCGCCCUUGGAAUACUGCCCUCGCGCGACCGGCGUCCUAACCCGAGGCCGUCAACCGGCUCGGGGACCGUGCCAGGCGGGCAGUUUGACUGGGGCGGUCGCCUCCUAAAGGGUAACGGAGGCGCGCGAAGGUCCGCUCGGGACGGUCGGCAACCGUCCUUUUGAAUGCAAGAGUACAAGCGGGCUUGACUGCGAGGCCCACAAGCCGAGCAGGUGCGAAAGCAGGCUCUAGUGAUCCGGCGGCCCCGAGUGGGUGGGCCGUCGCUCAACGGAUAAAAGGUACUCCGGGGAUAACAGGCUGAUCUUGCCCAAGAGUCCACAUCGACGGCAAGGUUUGGCACCUCGAUGUCGGCUCAUCGCAUCCUGGGGCUGGAGCAGGUCCCAAGGGUACGGCUGUUCGCCGUUUAAAGCGGUACGCGAGCUGGGUUCAGAACGUCGUGAGACAGUUCGGUCCCUAUCCUCCGUGGGCGCAGGAGAAUCGAUGGAGGCUGCCCCCAGUACGAGAGGACCGGGGUGGACGCACCUCCGGUGAACCGGUUGUCGACCAACGGCACGGCCGGGUAGCCGCGUGCGGCGCGGAUAACCGCUGAAGGCAUCUAAGCGGGAAGCCGUUCCAGGGAUUAGUUCUCCUUCCGGUAAGGGCCCAGGUAGACUACCUGGUCGAUAGACGGCAGGUGCAAGGACGGCGACGUCCUCAGCCGAGCCGCACUAAUCGCCCGAGCUCUUCCGGA